UACGUAGGGUGCAAGCGUUGUCCGGAAUUAUUGGGCGUAAAGAGCUCGUAGGCGGUCUGUCGCGUCGGCUGUGAAAACCCGGAGCUCAACUCCGGGCCUGCAGUCGAUACGGGCAGACUGGAGUUCGGCAGGGGAGACUGGAAUUCCUGGUGUAGCGGUGAAAUACGUAGAUAUCUGGAGGAACACCGGUGGCGAAGGCGGCUAUCUGGUCGAGUACUGACACUGAGACACGAAAGCAUGGGGAUCAAACAGG
RNAcentral lists this ribosomal RNA (253 nucleotides) under uncultured bacterium. Its description in RNAcentral is "partial 16S ribosomal RNA". It matches the Rfam family "Bacterial small subunit ribosomal RNA", at positions 524 to 776 of the family's 1533-position model. The record is from RNAcentral.